RNAcentral lists this ribosomal RNA (473 nucleotides) under uncultured bacterium. Its description in RNAcentral is "SSU rRNA". It matches the Rfam family "Bacterial small subunit ribosomal RNA", at positions 26 to 518 of the family's 1533-position model. The record is from RNAcentral.
AGGAUAAACGCUGGCGGCGUGCAUGAGACAUGCAAGUCGAACGGACGAUCAGGGCUUGCUCUGAUCGUUAGUGGCGGACGGCUGAGUAACGCGUAGGUGACCUGCCCCGAAGUGGGGAAUAACUGCCCGAAAGGGUGGCUAAUACCGCAUGUGGUGGUGCGUUCAAUCGCACCAGUAAAGCCGCAAGGCGCUUCGGGAGGGGCCUGCGUCCGAUUAGCUCGUUGGUGGGGUAACGGCUCACCAAGGCGACGAUCGGUAGGUGGUCUGAGAGGACGAUCACCCAGACUGGGACUGAGACACGGCCCAGACUCCUACGGGAGGCAGCAGUCGGGAAUUUUUGCGCAAUGGGCGAAAGCCUGACGCAGCAACGCCGCGUGAGGGAUGAAGGCCUUCGGGUUGUAACCUCUUUUUCAGGGAAGAUAAUGACGGUACCUGAUGAAUAAGUCACGGCUAACUACGUGCCGAGCAGCCGC